CGCCCUUGUGCCAGCCGCCGCGGUAAUACGGAGGGUGCAAGCGUUACUCGGAAUCACUGGGCGUAAAGAGCGUGUAGGCGGAUAGUUAAGUUUGAAGUGAAAUCCAAUGGCUCAACCAUUGAACUGCUUUGAAAACUGAUUAUCUAGAAUAUGGGAGAGGUAGAUGGAAUUUCUGGUGUAGGGGUAAAAUCCGUAGAGAUCAGAAGGAAUACCGAUUGCGAAGGCGAUCUACUGGAACAUUAUUGACGCUGAGACGCGAAAGCGUGGGGAGCAAACAGGAUUAGAUACCCUGGUAGUCCACGCCCUAAACGAUGUACACUAGUUGUUGCUAUGCUAGACAUAGCAGUAAUGCAGUUAACACAUUAAGUGUACCGCCUGGGGAGUACGGUCGCAAGAUUAAAACUCAAAGGAAUAGACGGGGACCCGCACAAGCGGUGGAGCAUGUGGUUUAAUUCGACGAUACGCGAAGAACCUUACCUGGACUUGACAUAGUAAGAAGAUUUAAGAGAUUAGAUUGUGUCUGCUUGCAGAAACUUAUAUACAGGUGCUGCACGGCUGUCGUCAGCUCGUGUCGUGAGAUGUUGGGUUAAGUCCCGCAACGAGCGCAACCCUCGUCCUUAGUUGCUAACAGUUCGGCUGAGAACUCUAAGGAGACUGCCUGGGUAACCAGGAGGAAGGUGAGGACGACGUCAAGUCAUCAU
Molecule: ribosomal RNA, 701 nt
Filed under: uncultured bacterium
Lineage: Bacteria
Description: SSU rRNA
Rfam family: Bacterial small subunit ribosomal RNA
Source: RNAcentral